GACGAACGCUGGCGGCGUGCUUAACACAUGCAAGUCGAACGGAAAGGCCCUGCUUGCCGGGUGCUCGAGUGGCGAACGGGUGAGUAACACGUGGGUGAUCUGCCCCUUACUUUGGGAUAAGCCUGGGAAACUGGGUCUAAUACUGGAUAGGACCAUGCUGUAGGUGGUGUGGUGGAAAGAUAGUUUCGGUAAGGGAUGAGCUCGCGGCCUAUCAGCUUGUUGGUGGGGUAAUGGCCUACCAAGGCGUCGACGGGUAGCCGGCCUGAGAGGGUGGACGGCCACAUUGGGACUGAGAUACGGCCCAGACUCCUACGGGAGGCAGCAGUGGGGAAUAUUGCACAAUGGGCGCAAGCCUGAUGCAGCGACGCCGCGUGGGGGAUGACGGCCUUCGGGUUGUAAACUCCUUUCAGCCAUGACGAAGCCCUUGUAGUGACGGUAGUGGUAGAAGAAGCACCGGCUAACUACGUG
RNAcentral lists this ribosomal RNA (468 nucleotides) under uncultured bacterium. RNAcentral describes it as "partial 16S ribosomal RNA". It matches the Rfam family "Bacterial small subunit ribosomal RNA", at positions 28 to 507 of the family's 1533-position model. The record is from RNAcentral.